Molecule: long non-coding RNA, 2795 nt
Organism: Triticum dicoccoides
Lineage: Eukaryota; Viridiplantae; Streptophyta; Magnoliopsida; Poales; Poaceae
Exons: 4
Source: RefSeq, a predicted model, not a curated record
CCCUCGCACCGCACGUCCUCCGCCUCCCUUCGCCUCCAGCGCCCCCUCCUCCCUCUCCAGCGCCGCCACAGCCGCCUGGGCGACGCUCCCACCCACCACCCAUGGUUGAGGUCGGCGAAGCGGCCCAUCGCGCGGCGCCUGGGGACGCUGCCUCCCUCCGCCGCCGCCAAAACCGGAUGGCGUGCUGUCCGGCGAGGGGCCCGACCUAUCGUCUUCGUCGCGCGUCCUGGGCUGACGGAGGGGCAGACGCCGAUGCCCACCAGCGGCGGCAGGCUCGAUCUGGAUAUUCAUCCUCGUGCCCAGUCGCCGCUCCUCGGCAUAUUCCUCUCCCCGCACCGCCGUUCGCUCUAUCGCGUCACCCGCACUGCCGCUCACCUCCGCCUCGUCAGCGCCUUCUGCUGCUACUGCCGCCGGCGCGUCUCCUAGCUCUUGAACGACCAAACCAUGCAUCGCUACUCCAUGGGAUUCUAAUUUGCCUUUGCAUGCUUGCAAGUUUGAUUGCUGGACCAGCUGCUGGACGUGGAGCACUGGAUCCGGCAGGCGGUGGUGCUCUGGGGCGUCGCCCCCCUCGUCGGCGCCUUCUCGCCGUGUACACUCACAAUUAUUGUACAGAUUGAUGCUACGGCUGUACUGCAGGCACACACACAUUUCUGAAUUUAGUCAACACUUAUAACAAAAUGUUCACCACAGAAUAAUCCAAUUUAUGCACUGCUUGUGUUACAUUGAGAAAUCAAGAAUGUGGCAGGUUAAAAUUUUCAAAGCCAAUUACUCCUAUGGUAAUUUAGAAAUUAUGUGCUUGUGAAUGAUGUUCCUUGAAUGACCAUAAAAGACGUUUGGUAGCUAAUUUCUAAUUUAUAGAUGAGGCUAAGUAUGUUAAAUAAAUUCAGCUUCUUCUUAGUCCUUGUAGUAUCCCUAUUGAUAUUAUUCCAAAUAAAUUCAAAUAAAUCCAAAGCCCUGGAGUACUUGAUCGCGUCAAAUCAUGGACAUCGCUCGUUGGCAUGCGGCACAGAUGGGCAGGGGCACCUUCGGCGGCGUAGAUGGGCCUUGCCCGCGCGACAGUUGAUGAGGCUGAGUGCCGUUGGUGGCUGGGUCCUAGGCUGCUGCCGCGAGCGACGGGGGACGGAGGAAGAAGGAAAGGGGGUAAUUAGCGUGAGGUUUACAGAGGACUCUUUUUUUGUAAAAAUGCCAAUGGACUAUGCUGGCGACAUUAUUUUUUGGACGGAGGGAGUACUACUUUGGUUGCAAAACUAGUAGACGACUAUUCAUAUUGUGCUGCCCUGCAAGUGAGGUUGCCCAUUAAGUAAUUUACUCUUUGGCUGCAUGUUUGGGUGUGUAGGGUUCUCACUGUUUGAACAACUUUCAAUAUUCUAAUUCAGCCGCGUGUACAGGUUUAAGAGUCAUCCUUUUAUAUGAAAAGGAAAAACACCUUUUGGUUUAACAAAAAACUUGUAUAUAUUUAGUUAGAGGCCUACUACAUUGUAGGAAGAGCUGGGCUAAUUAUGCACUAUUGUCAUUUAUUUCGUAUAUGUUAGAUUUUCUUACACAUUACCCUUAUUUUAACUAAUGAGCUUAUCCUGGCUGCCUGCCUGGCUGGUAAAGUUUCCAAACAAUAUAUCAAGAUCGUUUUUCUAUUUUUUUGGCCCCAAGACGUUACGGUCCACUUGCUAGAUAUGCACAUUCCUUCUUUAUCAAUCAAGCUUGAUUAUUAUCCAUGUUCUUUGCUUUGGUGGAUUCUUCUAUGCUUGCGUUCUUAGCCUUUCUGUUUUGGUGGAAUCUUCUAUGCUACUACCAAAGCGGCAUGUAAUAGGAUCAACAUGAUUUCUUUGCAUAUCUGCUCGUAAAAGUGGCACUAUGUCUAAGGUCAAUGAAUCAUCCAUCUCAGUUGUUCAAAUAUUCUUAGAUGAUACGUCAAUGAUUUAUGUGGAAGAUGUAAAUUUGUCUUGAAUUGAUGGUUUUCCAGCAAAAAUAGAUGGCAGACAAUAAUGGGCACUAUUUGAGAGCCAUGCAAUUCUGUCGUAUUCUUGGUUAACUCCAGUCUUGGUUGUCAAUGCAUUGUUGUAAUCAUAUUAUCAUAAUCUGAUUGUUAUUUCUAAUACGACUAAUCUUUCUAGGCUUAUGCUGAUUGCAGUCCUCUUGUGUUUGCAUUCCGUCUUACUAGAGUUCCAGUAAUAGACACAUUAUGGAAGUGGUGAGGGUCGAUGACUUGAUUUGCAUCAGUGAGAUGAAGAUAGCUGCCAUUGUAAAUGCCACUGUGCCAUAAAGCCAAGGAUUAAAGUUGUCUGGAGUGAACCGUGUCUCUGUGAGAGGAUCAUAACAAGAGGUAACACACUGCCCUUGCAUAAUAAUGUAGUAGUAUAUGGAGCAUAACAAACUGUGGUUGUGAUCAGACCUUGUAAAUUUUACCUUUCCUCCAAGAUCAUCCUCUCCUAAUAUGCCAUGUGUCGACAGUAGCAGGAUCAGGCUAAGCUUGCCCAUGUCAAUUCACACAUGAUAUAACUAAUCUGCUGUAUGGCGAAUUAAUUUAGCUCUGUUUCGGUGGCCAGCUGCUGAUAUCUUAUUUGUGGCAGACUUUCCCUUUCGGUUAAGUGAUAUACCCAAUAGCUGUAAAGAAAUAAAGUUGCAGUGUCGUGAUAUAUCAUUUUAUUUUUGAUUCUUUGCCUUGUGGUGUUCAGUACUUGUGGUUAGUUGAUGUUUGUUUUCUGAUUCUAUUGGUUUCUGUUAGUAGGGUUAUCUGACAUGGUUUGCAAUGUUAGUGCUGGUCUCAAGGUUUUAUAGAAGCAUUUGUGUGUUCUCAA